UCGAGAAUCUUCGUCAAUGGACGAAAGUCUGAACGAGCGAUGCCGCGUGCGGGAGGAAGGUCUUCGGAUUGUAAACCGCUGUCAGUAAUUUUGGAAAUGCUAGGGGGUAAUCCUCUUAGUUUGACCUGGUUUCAGAGGAAGGACGGGCUAAGUUCGUGCCAGCAGCCGCGGUAAUACGAACCGUCCCAACGUUAUUCGGAAUCACUGGGCUUACAGGGUGCGUAGGCUGUUGUUUAAGUCGGAUGUGAAAUCCCUCGGCUCAACCGAGGAACUGCAUUCGAUACUGUAUGACUUGAGGAAGAUAGGGGUGAGCGGAACUGAGAGUGGAGCGGUGAAAUGCGUUGAUACUCUCAGGAACACCGGUGGCGAAAGCGGCUCACUGGAUCUUUUCUGACGCUGAGGCACGAAAGCUAGGGUAGCGAACG
RNAcentral lists this ribosomal RNA (425 nucleotides) under uncultured prokaryote. Its description in RNAcentral is "bacterial SSU rRNA". It matches the Rfam family "Bacterial small subunit ribosomal RNA", at positions 355 to 774 of the family's 1533-position model. The record is from RNAcentral.